CUGCUGCCUUCCGUAGGAGUCUGGUCCGUGUCUCAGUACCAGUGUGGGGGACCUUCCUCUCAGAACCCCUACGCAUCGUCGCCACGGUGGGCCGUUACCCCGCCGUCUAGCUAAUGCGCCGCAUGCCCAUCCUCUUCCGAUGAAUCUUUCCUCGAUCUCGGAUGCCCGAAACCGAUAUACGCGGGAUUAGCCUCCCUUUCGGAAGGUUGUCCCCCUGAAGAAGGCAGGUUGCAUACGUGUUACUCACCCGUGCGCCGGUCGCCGG
This 265-nucleotide ribosomal RNA is filed under the name uncultured bacterium. RNAcentral describes it as "partial 16S ribosomal RNA". The record is from RNAcentral.